GCUGCAAGUGGGUCAGGAGAUCAGAGUGGACCGAGUAGGCCCUGGAAUGCUCUGCUGGGAGGCCUGCCAGGAGGACUUCAGUCCCCCACCCCGCCCCCAUCCUCCCCCCAGGGGCAGGAUGACUCGGCAUUUCCUAUUAUUAUUAUUAAGGCCAACCCCAGAGGCCCUGGCAAGGCUGACUGCUGUUAAAACUGGACUGUUCUCCUUCUGGUUCCUGGUUCAUUCUAGGUGCUGACAUUGUGUGGAAGAACUUUCCCGGACAUCCCUUUUAAUUCUCAGAAGCAGGCCACAAGGAAGAAGGGGGAUGACCUUAUCUCUAGAAACUCCUAUCAAUACAGAAUGCAAGGACUUAAAUCUGCAUAAUAAUCUUAUUCCUGUUUAUUGUACUUGUCUGGUAACCUCCUGUAACUGACUUCCCCCACCCCCAACAUCCUCCUUUGUCUUUCGCUGGAUAUGAUAUUUAAGGUGGUGGCUUCAGCCAUUUUGGCGAGUUGCUCAGCUUGCCUGACCCUCUCCCAUGUAUACAUGUUAUAAAGCUUUGUUUAAUUUUCUCCUGUUAUUCUGUCUCAUGUGAAUUUAAU
Molecule: long non-coding RNA, 581 nt
Filed under: Equus asinus (donkey)
Lineage: Eukaryota; Metazoa; Chordata; Mammalia; Perissodactyla; Equidae
Description: lncRNA (ENSEASG00005025096.1)
Source: RNAcentral